This 406-nucleotide ribosomal RNA is filed under the name uncultured bacterium. RNAcentral describes it as "partial 16S ribosomal RNA". It matches the Rfam family "Bacterial small subunit ribosomal RNA", at positions 30 to 526 of the family's 1533-position model. The record is from RNAcentral.
AUUGAACGCUGGCGGCAGGCCUAACACAUGCAAGUCGAACGAGUGGCGCACGGGUGAGUAAUGUCUGGGAACCUGCCCGAUGGAGGGGGAUAACUACUGGAAUCGGUAGCUAAUCCCGCAUACCAUCGGAUGUGCCCAGAGGGGAUUAGCUAGUAGGUGGGGUAAAGGCUCACCUAGGCGACGAUCCCUAGCUGGUCUGAGAGGAUGACCAGCCACACUGGAACUGGGACACGGUCCAGACUCCUACGUGAGGCAGCAGUGGGGAAUAUUGGACAAUGGGCGCAAGCCUGAUGCAGCCAUGCCGCGUGUAUGAAGAAGGCCGUCGGGUUGUAAAGUACUUUCAGCGGGGAGGCGUUACCCGCAGAAGAAGCACCGGCUAACUCCGUGCCAGCAGCCGCGGUAAUAC